UUUUGAAUUCAGCACAAACUAUAGGCUACUGUAGUCGCGUGCUUGUACAAUUCAACUUUCACCUAAUUUCAUCUCUUCUAGCUCGUCGACUGCUUGACAACUACAAUAAGGAAGCACAUAAAUACAGUUUAAACAUAUUUGUUUCCUCCAUCAUGGAUAAAGCAAUGCAAUGCAAUAGCUAAGGUAGCCGAUUAAACUCAACUCCAGUAUUUACGAUGGAGUUGAGCGGUGACUAGUGUUUUUAUAUAAAACUCCUGAUUUCAGCACUCAAAGAAUUGGCUGCAAUUACACAAGUCAACGCUCAACUCAAAUCGUAAAUCGUGGAGUUGAGUUUAGUCUGCUAUUACUAAGGGAGCUUGUAAUGCUGCGGUGUCUUGUUAGCAGGUGCCUUUUGACCAAUCCCGUCGCAGGUCAGACAAGAAAGAUGUCAGGAGGCAGUCUUGCUGGGUCUCAAAGCAGUCUUGCAGGGAAGGUUGCCAUAGUCACUGCCUCCACAGAUGGAAUCGGUUUGGCUGCAGCCCAGGCUCUGGGUCAGAGAGGGGCUCACGUUGUGGUGAGUAGCAGACGCCAGUCAAACGUCGACAAGGCCGUGGCACUACUGCAGAGUGAGAAGAUACAAGUGACCGGGACGACUUGCAACGUUGGGAAUAGUGAAGACAGAGCUAGACUUGUUAACAUGACCGUGGAACAGUGUGGUGGUGUGGACAUCUUCGUUUCGAACGCAGCAGUCAACCCUUUCUUUGGGAACAUUAUGGACUCGACAGAAGCAGUCUGGGAUAAGAUCCUGGAUGUGAAUGUAAAGUCGGCCUUUCUUAUGACCCAACUGGUGGUGCCUCACUUGGAGAAGAGGGGGGGUGGGAGUGUUGUGUUUGUGUCCUCUGUCGCUGGGUACCAGCCUAUGCAGGCACUGGGCCCUUACAGCGUGAGUAAGACGGCCCUGUUGGGACUAACCAGAGCCCUGGCCCCUGAACUGGCCCAGAGCCACAUCCGGGUCAACUGUGUGGCCCCUGGCAUCAUUAAGACCACCUUCAGCCAAGCAAGAAGGGAGUUUUGACGAUUCUGUGUUCUCAGUUGUGGCAGGACGAGUUCAAGAAGCAGCUUAGCAUUAAAAGGUUUGGCAAGCCAGAGGAGAUCGGUGGAGUAAUCGCCUUCCUGUGCUCUAAGGAUGCGUCUUACAUCACUGGAGAGACAAUCACUGUGACUGGAGGGAUGAGCUGCAGACUGUGAGGCUGAUUGACUGACUGGAAAAUGUUAAUAGAAUCUGGCAACGCCGACUGUAACACUCAAAGGAAACAAUGCUUUUGUAAUAUAAUAAUGGACUGUAAGACAGGAAGAUUCACUAUACAUUUCAGUCAUUUCUUUCUCUCAAAAUCAAAUGACUUGAGGACACGAAGCCAGGAAGUGGACAGUCGCCACCACUGAUAUUCUUUCUGGGUAUGUUUUCCAGUGGGCGCUAUACAGUGCAGUCAGGUUAACAAAUAAACUGCAGUUUUUUUACUACGCUUUUAAAGAUCCGUCACAGAACAUUGUAAGCAUUUGAGCUCACAAGCAGGGUCCAAACUCAGGCCAGUUUAUACCUACAUUGCCUUAAUAAAAAAGGACUACAUUGCUAUUCA
Salmo salar (Atlantic salmon) is the source of this 1616-nucleotide non-coding RNA. The record is from RefSeq and is a predicted model, not a curated record. NCBI's taxonomy places the organism in Eukaryota, Metazoa, Chordata, Actinopteri, Salmoniformes, Salmonidae.